AGAGAAAGGGCAUAGAGGGUACCAAAAGAGAAAGAGUAGAGAUAGAUCUCUCAAUCGUGUUUCACCACCCCUUUUUGUCAAAGAGUAGAGAUAGGUUUAAAUUUCGGUCUUUCCAAUAAUAUAUUUUGUUCUAAUAACUAGCGAUUUUUUUUUUCACUGCCAUUUUUUGUAUUUGUUUCUUUUAAUUUCAUUCUAUUUAGAGUGCCGCAUAUUGCACUCCAUUUGCUUGCUAGUUUAAUAUUUACACUAUGAUGGUGAGAUUUUUUUUAUUUUUUUUUACUUCUUAUAUGAUGGUGGUGACUGGUGGUCAGAUUGGUGAAUGACUAAAAAUGAAAUAUCAAAUAUCGUCGACAUUAGAGAAAUAUCUAAUCUGUAAUUAGCACCAAAAAUUGGUGCAACUGCCACCCCUCACACAUCUUUCAUUCAUUCACCCUUAAACCCUUCUUCUUACACCCUACUUCUCAAAAACACCACAAUUUCACUUCGACAAACUAUCAAACAUGUCGUGUGCAGAUAAAUUCCCUGUAAGUUCUUCUUCUCUUUCAUCUUCUUCUUCUUCUUCUUCUUCUUCAAAAUUUGUUACCACCAUUUUCACAAAACCCCUCUUGGGUCCAUUUCCAAUGCUUAAUCCAAGAUGGGUUUAUCCCCGUCUUACUUGUUUCCUUUCAAAUACUCCACAUUUACCCACUAAAGCUUCUUCUUUUAUUAACAACAACACAGAGGGGAAAAAAGAAGAUAAAGAAAGUGUUGUAACAACGAUUGUGAAGUCUUUGGCUUUGUCUGAUGAUGUUGAAGAUACUCUUGAGUUGUUUGGUGAGAAUCUGAGUUUAAAAGAAAUUACUGUUAUUCUAAGAUUACAGGAAAAUUGGGAACGUGCUGUUAGGGCUUUUAAGUGGUUUAAAUCUAAGGAAGGUUAUGUUCAUAAUGCAAUUCAUUAUAAUGUUGUGCUUAGGAUUCUUGGUAGGGCUCAACAAUGGGACGAAUUGAGGCUUUGUUGGAUAGAUAUGGCGAAAAACAAUGUUUUGCCUACAAAUAAUACUUAUAGUAUGCUUGUUGAUUGUUAUGGUAAAGCGGGUCUUGCGAAAGAGGCUCUUUUGUGGAUUAAGCAUAUGAUGAUGAGAGGAUUUUUCCCUGAUGAGGUUACCAUGAGUACUGUUGUUAAGGUUUUGAAGGAAGUUAGGGAGUUUGAUAGGGCUGAUAGGUUUUACAAGAAUUGGCAUGGUGGGAAAGUUGACUUGGAUGAUCUUGAUUUUGAUACUUCUUCGGCGUUUACUACUGCUGAUGGUUCUAAAUCAUCGGUGCCUAUUAGUUUAAAGCAGUUUCUUUCCACUGAGCUCUUUAAGAUAGGUGGAGGUAUUCGAGAUUCUAAUGAUAUAGAGAAUCAGAAUCCUCUAAGUACAUUCACUUACAAUACCUUGAUAGAUUUGUACGGCAAGGCUGGACGACUCCAAGAUGCUGCUGAUGUCUUCGUUGAUAUGAUGAAAUCUGGAGUGGCAUUGGAUAGUUGCACUUUUAAUACUAUGAUCUCUAUUAGUGGAAGGCAUGGCAAUUUGUUGGAAGCUGAAUCUUUGCUUGUUAAAAUGGAAGAGAAGGGUAUAUCCCCUAAUACGAGAACUUAUAACAUUUUGUUGUCUUUGUAUGCUAAUGCGGGCAAUAUUGAUGCUGCUGUUUCUUGUUACAGAAGGAUUGAAGAGGCUGGGCUCGUCCCAAAUGUUGUAACAUACAUAGCUCUUUUUGGUGUUUUAUGCACGGAGAAUAUGGUUCAGGUUGUGGAAGCUGUGAUUGAUGAAAUGGAGAAAUCUUCUGUUUCCAUUAAUGAGCGUUCUCUUCUCGAUAUUGUGAAGAUGUAUGUUAAUGCAGGAGAUCUUGAUAAAGCAAAUGACUUGCUUGAAAAGUUUCAAAUGAAUUGGGAACCGUCAUCCAAGAUAUGUGCUUCAAUUAUGGAUGCUUUUGCUGAGAAGGGAUAUUGGGCCGAAGCGGAGAGUAUGUUUUAUAGGAAAAGGGACAUGGCACAACUACAGAAGAGGGAUAUUGUAGAGUUCAAUGUCAUGAUCAAAGCAUAUGGCAAAGCAAAACUUUAUGACAAAGCCGUUUCUCUGUUUGAAGAAAUGAAGAAUCAAGGAGUUUGGCCUAAUGAUAAUACAUAUCGUUCUAUUAUUCAAAUGUUAUCUGGUGCUGAUUUAGUGGACCAAGCAAGGAGCCUCACUGUUGAAAUGCUGGAAAUGGGGUUUAAGCCAAAUUGUAAAACUUUUUCUGCUGUUAUAGGAUGCUAUGCUCGUCUUGGUCAGCUUUCCGAGGCAGUUGAUGUGUACCAGGAAAUGCUAAGAGCCGGUGUAAAACCAAAUGAGGUUGUGUAUGGAUCUAUAAUAAAUGGAUUUGCAGAACAUGGUAGUCUUGAUGAGGCACUUCAAUAUUUCCAUUUGAUGAAAGAAUCUGGAUUAUCAGCAAAUCUAGUCGUGUUAUCGACACUCCUAAAGUCUUAUUCUAAGGUUGGUGACUUGGAAGGAGUAAAGUCCAUCUACGAGCAGAUGCAGAACAUGGAAGGAAGUCUCGAUUUAGUUGCAUCUAACAGUAUGAUUACGGCCUUUGCAGAACUCGGCUUGGUAUCCGAAGCCAAGCAGACUUUCGAAAAUUUGAAAGAGACGGGCUGCACAAACAGUACUUCAUACGAAAUAAUUAUGGAUCUUUAUAAAGAUGUCGGCCUGAUUGACGAGGCCAUCAAGAUAGCAGAGGAGAUGAAACUGUUAGGUUUGCUGAAUGAUUGUGUUUCAUAUAACAAGGUACUUAUAUGUUACGCAGUUAAUAAGCAAUAUCACGAGUGCGUCGAAUUACUACGUGAGAUGAUAUCUAAGAAGAUUUUGCUAAAUGGUAGAACUUUUAAUCUGUUAUUGACUAUACUAAAGAAGGGAGAGUUUCCUACUGAAGCAAUUGUACAGUUAGAGUCAUGUUACCAAGAGGGGAAACCUUACGCUUUGCAAGCAACCUACACUGCUAUGUACUCUUUACUUGGUAUGCAUGCUUUGGCACUUGAAUCUUGUCAAACACUCUUAGAAUCCGAGGUUGAAAAUCUUGACUCUGCUGCCUAUAAUGUGGCAAUCUAUGUAUAUACUUCAGCUGGAUAUUUUGAGAAGGCGCUGAAUAUAUACAUGAAAAUGCGGGAUAAGCGCGUGGAACCAGACAUCGUAACUCAUAUUAAUCUGGUAGUUUGUUAUGGAAAAGCUGGCAUGGUUGAAGGUGUGAAAAAGAUUCAUCGUCUAUUGGAAUAUGGAGAGAUUGAGCAGAGUGAGUCGUUAUUACAGGCUAUUAAAUAUGCCUAUAAACAUUGCAAUAGGAAAUUUCGACGAGUUAUGAGAUUCAAUUUCGACUCGGAAGAAAAUUCUGAAGAUGAAAGUGAAACUGAAUAUGACGUUGGAAGUGAAGGUGAAACUGAAUAUGACGUUGGAAGUGAAGGUGAAACUGAAUAUGACGUUAGAAGCGAAAUUGAAUAAGACUCUAAUUCUGAUGGAGACUCUCCAGGUUGGUAAAAUCACAGGGCUUCUUCAUAUAUCAAACCUGUAUAUAUUGUGGUAGUCAUGUAUUCAUACUAGGGUUUGGUUUCUAGUCGUGGGAUGGAACAAAAUAAGGAAUGAGAGACAACAAAAUUCUAAAAUUUGUUACUAAAAAAAUAGGAAUGACUUGUUAUUCUCAUACACAACAUAACUCAAUAGUCAAUACCAUAUUCUAUCUUCUCCCUUUCCAUUGUUAGUUGUUGACUAUUUUCUUGCACGCUUCUGGAUUGCGAGGUGCUCUCGCUCCAGUUAAGGAUUUCUCUCAUUGCGAGGUGCUCUCACUCCAGAUUUUGGAGCCAAAUGGAUUAUGAGCUUAGCAUAAUCUCUAAGUCUGAGAAUACUUGCUAAGUGAGCCCAGCGAGACAAGUCAGAAAGGAUCACAGUUUCAAGGUAGAUCACUUUGCUAAGCGAGCCAGUAGCAAGCCAAGUCAGAAUGGUUUGAAUUUGGAAAUCAAGACAAUUAGCUAAGCGAGCGGCAGCAAAGAGUUUCAGAAUGUAUCAGGGCUGUUACAUCAGCAGAUUUGCUAAGCGAGCAAUAUUUCGCUAAACGAAUCUAAGCAGUUCAGUGAACUUCAAGAUAACGUGGCAUUUCCCUCAACAUCCAUCUAAGCAAAGCCUAUUUCGCAAAGCGAAUGCGCACCUUUUGAUUUAAUAUAAAUAGAUUUUAAAAUGAUUUUUUCAUUUAUCUCUUGUAUCAUAGAACUAGAAUUACAAAAGAGAAAGCAUAGAGAAUAAAGUUUUCCACCAUUGGAGAGCAUUUGGUCUUGAUUCUCAAGCAUUGGAUGCAACUCCAUCUCAUUUCUUUACUAUGAGUGUUUGUACCUAAAUUUCUGUGUUAGAGAUUAUGUUUAGUUAGCUAGGAUUUUGAUGUAAAUAAUUAAUCUGAAUGAUUAUAUAUAAUCUUUGUUUCAGUAUUUUAUUGUGAUUGUCCAUACAGAAAAAAAGAAAAAAAAAAAAAACUCUGGCUUUAAAUUGAGCCCCGCAAGUGGGCAAUGUGAUUGGUCCAAUUGGAUUAGUCGGUCCUAGGGCCGGAUAACAAGUUUUCAAAAAAAGAAAGUAUUUUAUUGUGAUUUA
Molecule: RNA transcript, 4622 nt
Organism: Trifolium pratense (red clover)
Lineage: Eukaryota; Viridiplantae; Streptophyta; Magnoliopsida; Fabales; Fabaceae
Gene name: pentatricopeptide repeat-containing protein At1g73710
Exons: 2
Source: RefSeq, a predicted model, not a curated record